AAUGAUCAAAAUAUGGAUACAAUCAAAGCUAAUAUCCAUAAUAGAUAUCUUGGACAAAAAUGAAAAUUAUUUUUUUUGUGAAUAGUGUCGUAUACGUGAAUAGUGUCGUAUACGUGAAUAGUAACCCCGACACUAAAAGACAAGAAUUUCACAAGAAAAAUCUUACCAAUAUUCCGACAUAAUGAUAUUGAAAGAAAUAAUAUCAUUUAUAAAAAAAUAACAUCCCUUACCUCGAAAGAAUAGUACUUCUGGCUGGAAUAUCAGAUAUAACGCUGAAAUGAACUUGCUCCGUAUAGCAACACUCAAAGUAUCAAAAUACUCACAAGAAUAUUAAUAUAUAGAGAGAGAAGAUUUCAGUUUCUGGUGUGAUUUUUAAUUCUAACCUAAGCAUCCUAUUUAUAGGAAAAUGCUUAGAACACCAAAGCAAAAAAUUUAAUAAAAUAUUAAUAUAUUUUAUUAAAUUUCCUAUGCACACAAACUUGGUCCAAAAUCAGCCACACACCUCACCAAAAGUCACAAAAACGUUUUUCAUGUAAAAAUCACUUAAAACUCCCCAAAAAAAAAAUAAUCAAUUAAUCCGGAACUUCAAUAAUUCAUAAUAAAUAGCUCUUUUAUCAGAAAAAUUUGAAUCUUAUGUCCAUUCCAUAGAAAAUUCAAUUCUCUACAACUUUGUAGUUUUAAGUUUUUUCAAAUUCGAAACAGAAAUUGACCGAAAUCCACAUACGGACGAUUUUACAGGCUAUAAUCAAAUUUCAGUCAAGAAAUGGGGUCCACAAACAUGAAAAACAUGUUUUAAAUAUUUUUAGUAACAAAAAUACUCUUUC
RNAcentral lists this long non-coding RNA (824 nucleotides) under Panax ginseng (ginseng). RNAcentral describes it as "long non-coding RNA (PGIN_LNC010824)". The record is from RNAcentral. Lineage: Eukaryota; Viridiplantae; Streptophyta; Magnoliopsida; Apiales; Araliaceae.